This 440-nucleotide ribosomal RNA is filed under the name uncultured bacterium. RNAcentral's name for it is "partial 16S ribosomal RNA". It matches the Rfam family "Bacterial small subunit ribosomal RNA", at positions 338 to 795 of the family's 1533-position model. The record is from RNAcentral.
CCUACGGGAGGCAGCAGUGGGGAAUAUUGCACAAUGGGGGAAACCCUGAUGCAGCGACGCCGCGUGAGUGAAGAAGUAAUUCGGUAUGUAAAGCUCUAUCAACAGGGAAGAAAAUGACGGUACCUGAGUAAGAAGCCCCAGCUAACUACGUGCCAGCAGCCGCGGUAAUACGUAGGGGGCAAGCGUUAUCCGGAUUUACUGGGUGUAAAGGGAGCGUAGACGGCAGUGCAAGUCUGGAGUGAAAGGCGGGGGCUCAACCCCCGGACUGCUCUGGAAACUGUGCGGCUGGAGUGCAGGAGAGGGAAGUGGAAUUCCUAGUGUAGCGGUGAAAUGCGUAGAUAUUAGGAGGAACACCAGUGGCGAAGGCGGCUUACUGGACUGUAACUGACGUUGAGGCUCGAAAGCGUGGGGAGCAAACAGGAUUAGAUACCCGUGUAGUC